UCUUGUCAUUUCAAGUAUUUAAAGCUCAGCCUGAGAAGGAGCAGUCACUCUCAUAAAUAUCUGCAUAGUGUGCAUGACGGUUCAUAGACAUAUCCACGACACCACCCUCCUAGUAGCUCAAGGUUCAUGAUGAAGUGUCUCGUUGUUGCCGUCAUCAUUACAUUGGUUGUUCAAAGCCUAGCUUCUGAAAUGGAAAGCGACUUCGAAAUGCAGGCGCUCAAGAAAAGAGGGUGGAAAUCGAUCUGGAUUGGCUGUUCAAAGAGUUCAGAAUGCCUCCCAGGCCAUGUUUGCGAACGUCAUGUUAAAAACUGCGCAUUUCCAAAAGACAACAGGUGUUGCCUUUUAGGAUAGGACGCCCUGGCACAACGAUACCAUAUGUAAAGUAUCGGAGUCACAUUAAAGUUCGCAUUCUUCGAAAUGUUUGAUUAAAUUGGUUAUCAUUGUGUAUGUUGAUACCUUACAAUAAAUAGACUCCUGGAA
Long non-coding RNA from Lineus longissimus, 480 nucleotides. RefSeq lists it as uncharacterized. The transcript is spliced from 5 exons. The record is from RefSeq and is a predicted model, not a curated record. NCBI's taxonomy places the organism in Eukaryota, Metazoa, Nemertea, Pilidiophora, Heteronemertea, Lineidae.